Molecule: small RNA, 132 nt
Filed under: Salmonella enterica subsp. enterica serovar Hadar
Lineage: Bacteria; Pseudomonadati; Pseudomonadota; Gammaproteobacteria; Enterobacterales; Enterobacteriaceae
Also listed under: 1 other name
Description: RtT sRNA
Rfam family: RtT RNA
About the family: This family represents a bacterial cis-regulatory element known as RtT RNA.
Source: RNAcentral
GUUUGCACUUGUCGGGGAAGGGUGAGAACCUUCGAUUAAGGUUCGACUUGAGCGAAAGCGAGAGAACGUUGUCAACGGCAACGGCCAGUAGGGUGAGGAGCGAAGCGACGAAUAAUCCUUCCCCCACCACCA